RNAcentral lists this ribosomal RNA (1497 nucleotides) under Triticum aestivum (bread wheat). Its description in RNAcentral is "partial small subunit ribosomal RNA". Lineage: Eukaryota; Viridiplantae; Streptophyta; Magnoliopsida; Poales; Poaceae. The record is from RNAcentral.
AUGUCGACGUCCACCUCGGUUGUCUCCACCGGCCUCAACAACAACGUCUCUGAACCCCUCACUCGUUCCAAUUAUGUUCUCUGGCGUGCCCAAGCUCGUUCCCAGAUCAUGGGGGCGGGCCUCUUCGGGUACGUCGACAAAACCCUAGAAGCACCACCCAAAACCAUCACCAGCAAGAACACCGAGGGCAAAGAUCAGGUGGCUGUGAACCCUGCUUAUGCGCCUUGGCUCAUCCAAGAUCAACAGAUCAUCGCCUAUCUCCGCAACCUCUCGAAAGAAGUCCUAGUUCAGGUAGUAUCUCUUGAAACCUCCCAUGCCACCUGGUCCGCCCUUGCCAACAUGUUCUCUGCCCAAUCCCGUUCCCGCUGCAACCACAUCCGCAUCUCCCUCACCACUGCCCAGAAGGGAACCCAGUCUGCUGCUGCAUACUUUGGCUAUAUGCGAGGUCUCGCUGAUGAGAUUGCAGCGGCUGGGAAACCCAUAGAUGAGGACGAACUCGUGUCUCACAUCAUAUCCGGGCUCGACAUGGAAUAUCAGCCCAUCAUCAGCGCCCUGGACGUGCGUCCUGAGCCAACCACCGUCGAUGAACUCUUCGGUAUGGUAUCUACUUUUGAUCAGAGGGUUGAGAUGUUCCAGGGCACCGGCGGCCAAGCUUUUAAAUCAUCGGCCAACGCCGCUUCCCGCGGACGGGGUGGCCCUUCCAAAGGCUGCCGUGGCGGUGGCGGUGGCUCUCGCGGUGGUGGCGGCCACUAUGGUGGCGGUGGUGGCGGCCACUACGGCGGCGACGGUGGCGGUCACUACUCCAACUCCCACGGUGGUGGCAGCGGCGGCCACUACGGUGAUGGUGGUGGCAACCAUGGUGGUGGCUAUGGUGGCCACUACUCCAACUCCGGAGGCAGCGGAGAACACAACUACAACAACGGUGGUCGCCCCUUCUACAACAACAACAGGGGAGGCCAGAACAACUACAACAACAACUUCAGAGGGUAUGAUGAAUAUGAAGGAAAGUGUCAAAUUUGCAAGAAAACUAAUCAUAUUGCAAAGCAAUGCAAGUGGCGCUAUGCAGAUGAAUUCACAAAAAAAAAGAAAGUUGCCGCAGCAGCCAACAAGUCAUAUGGAGUAGAUACAAAUUGGUACGCUGAUUCUGGCGCUUCUGACCACAUCACCCAUGAGCUCGAGAAGGUCACCAUGCAUGAGAAAUAUCACGGUCAUGAGCAAGUUCAUAACGCCGAUGGUACAGGUAUGGAGAUAAGCAAUAUUGGUCAUUCAAUUAUUCGUUCCCCACAUAGAGAUAUCCACUUGAAUAAUAUUUUGCAUUGUCCCACUUCAUCAAAAAAUCUCCUAUCCGUUCAUCGCAUUGCCCUUGACAACCAUGUAUUUUUAGAAUUUCACUCAUUCUUCUUUUUAUCAAGGAUCAGGUCACGAAGCAAAUCCUCUAUCGAGGUAGAUGCGUGGAGGACUGUACCCGUUGAUUCCUCAAGUUGGCAGAUUCAAUAA